GACGAACCGUGCAAACGUUGUUCGGAAUCACUGGGCUUAAAGGGCGCGUAGGCGGGCCAGCCAGUCUGUGGUGAAAGCCUCCAGCUUAACUGGAGAAGUGCCGUGGAUACUGCUGGCCUCGAGGAGGGUAGGGGCAUCUGGAACGGUCGGUGGAGCGGUGAAAUGCGUUGAUAUCGACCGGAACUCCGGUGGCGAAGGCGAGGUGCUGGGCCCUUUCUGACGCUGAGUGCGCGAAAGCCAGGGGAGCAAACGGG
RNAcentral lists this ribosomal RNA (254 nucleotides) under uncultured bacterium. RNAcentral describes it as "partial 16S ribosomal RNA". It matches the Rfam family "Bacterial small subunit ribosomal RNA", at positions 524 to 776 of the family's 1533-position model. The record is from RNAcentral.